Callorhinus ursinus (northern fur seal) is the source of this 4175-nucleotide non-coding RNA. NCBI's taxonomy places the organism in Eukaryota, Metazoa, Chordata, Mammalia, Carnivora, Otariidae. The record is from RefSeq and is a predicted model, not a curated record.
UCAAUGGGUCUGGGUGGAGUCUAUAAUUCUACAUUUCUUACAAGCUCCUGGGUGACACUGGUGCUCCGAUUGUGUGGACCACACCUCCAGAAGCAAAGAUCUACACAUAAUUUUCAAAUUCUGUGUAGUAACUUAAGUUUCUCAAAUCACUUUGUUCACUUUGAAUCCCCCUAAUAUCUGCUUUGUGCUGUUCUUAAGGCACAUUUAGCAGAUUGCAUCUUAUUAUAGCUGUGGUAUACAUCAAAAGAAAUCUCCCUGAAGACAGAAGCCCCAGAUAAUACUAGACAUGUGGAAGGAUAUACUACAUUUUCUGUUCAACGAUGGAGGAAAUUGAAUCUCCAUGACAUUCAACAGCUUCUCAAGCUCUCACAGCCAGUGUUUCUGGCAGCUGGAGAAGUUCAGGGCAUGGAGUACCCAAGGUGAAAGAAAUGGCCUGACUUUUCAAGAGCCAGCCUCCAGGAGCACAUGGAAAUGAGAAUGUCUGAGCUCAGAGAGAAAGGAACCGUGGAGGACCCUCGACACAGCUAUGUGGAACAGAAAGGGGCCCUUCACCUAAUUCACGAGGCAUUUCUGACACCACUGUGCCUACCAGGAGGCUCUGAAUAUGACCUGUGAUUACAUUUAUCUAAUUAACCAAAAACCCUCCCGAAUGACACUUCUGCAAGUCUAAAAAGUGGUGUUAAUGAAGUGGAAACCAUCAAAAACACUUCAGCUUAAUCCUAGGGAAACAGUUGAUGAGGCGCUACAGAGACCCAGGAUUAUUGCCCUCAUUAAAAGAGUGACCCUGAGCUAGAUCUGGAUGUGCACCCCCUGAUCGCCCUUCAGGGAAGGAAAAGUUGCCACCAGUGGGGCAGGCCACGCGCCAUGACAGAGCAAGGAGGAAACAAAGGUUUGACCAUUUGGGCCCAACUUAGGACAAGGUGGAUGGGUAGCACUGGCCCCAGAGCUCCUGCCAGGAGGUAUCCGGUGUGCACAGCAGUUCAGCCUCUGCGCAAGCCGACCUCUCUUCUCCUGUCACAGGUACUGAUCCCUAAUAUACAUCUCAAAGCUCCUACCGGGCAUCUCAGAGUCGGCCUCCAGAGACCCUGAACUGGAGCAGAUGUCCUCCAGAGGUGGCUUGACCAGAGAUGCCUGGUGUUUUGUGUUUUCACAACGUUUAAGACCCUCGCAGCUCUUUACCCCCAUAGCUGCCCCUGGGAAUUAGGUGUUUCCACCUGACACGUGCCUACCACAGAAACCACUUCUUUCCCCCCAUGUUUGAGAUGUCCUCUAGGCAAUACCUUCUUCUGCUUGCCUAAAAGCUGAAUUUCUGGCAAGAAAGAGAACAACAGUGGUAUGCUGUGAGCUGACAGACUUUAGGAGCAAAGAACCCUCAGAUUUGAUGAUUUGGGUUCCGAACUCCCCACUGCAAGGUUGAACAGAGAAGACAUUACUCAGUGGUACUCUGUGUUCUACUUCCCCCCUCUUCUGCAUCAAUGAUCUCAUUAACUAAUCAAUCACAAGCUGGGAAUUUCUAAAGGCCUUUGUGCCAAACGGCAAAAUCAGGCAGUAGGGUCAGGCAAUGGGGCAACUGUCGAGUGGGUCACCUGUACCCCUGGCACUCUUCCAGGCGUGGGGUGGGCGGGGAGGGUAGAACUGAGGUCUAAUAAGAUCGUGUGUGUGGAAGCAUUUAGUACUGUGUCUGCAGGCAGUAGGCGCUCAGAGAAUGUGCCCUUAGCUUGUCCUUCCUUCCUAAGGUGCCACAUCACAAGAGGUUAUCAGGAGUUAAGUCUCUACUGCUGGGAUCGAUUUUGCUUGCUGAUCCUGGACACUCCUCUGUGGAAAUGAGCAGAGAAGGCUGACUGCGGUGGGAAGCACAGCUUCAUGAUGUGUGAGGGUUGGAGAUUAUCUGAGUCCUGAGACAUUGGCUACACAGGACUUACGUGAGAACCUUCUUGCUAUGCCUUUAUUCCUGAAGCCCGACCUACUUCUGAGUUAUCUCUACCCUGAAGUCUGCAGCUUCUGAGAAUGCAGGUGUUGAGCUGGCAACAGGUAGGGGAAAGUUGGCUUUCAAUACAGUCCUCUCCUUGGGCAGACAUUCCAGAACGAGCCCCAUCCUAUCACACUAUAGCAAAUACAGAUAAAACACUCCCCAACCCAAGGAAGAAAACAUUUCAAUGGCAAUAAAAUGAAGUUACAAGACUACCAAGAUUAAAUCAUAACGUACAGUGCUCUGGCAUAAAUAAUAACAGCAGCUCAUAGUUUUGAGUAUUUACUGUAUCAGGCACUGUGCUGAGUAUAAAACACAUAAACAUUAUCUCAUGUAGCCCUUACCAUAACCCUGUUAGGUAAAUAUCAUAAUAGUCCCCACUUUCCAGAUGAGGAAAUCGAGGCUUUGGAGAACAGUUAGAAGAAGCCAGGUAAGGAUGAUCUAGGGAAUGGCAAACUGCUUUGGGGGUCUUUCAGGGCUGGAGAAAUGUGACUGAGGGACACCCUAACCCAAUCUGGGAGGUAUUUGCCAGGUAGAGACAGGACAAUCUGCAGAAGGGACAGGGUCAGGGAAGUUCCAGGAAACAGAAUAUAAUGGAGCAGUCACAGAAUUGAACUGCAGCUCAGGAUUUCUGUGUGUAUGGAUGGGUGGAGACAGGAGUGUGCCCUGGAGAAGUCAGCAGAGAAUGGAUUCUGGAGGGCCUUGAACAUGAUCUGGAGGGCGGUGGGGGUAGGAAGGACCCUGAAGCAGAAGGAUGGCAGAGGCAGAUUUCUGCUUUAGACAGACCCCUCUGGUAGCCUUGUAGAGGGAAGAAGGGCUGGUGGCUGAGGGCCGGGGUUGGAUGCUACACACCAGAGAUGAAGGGGGUCUGCGCCCAGGUAGCCUGAGGUAGGUACCAAGAGGGAGAGAUGAGACAUAUCCAGGAGUUGACAUUGUCAGUGUUUAGUAUGUGACGUGGUGGGUGGAGUGGGGGUGGGGAGGACAAGGGGGUGUUAAGGAAAACAUCCCAGCAGAGAAAGGAAGACAGGUUUGAAGGAGGAGGACACAUUCCAUUUGAACAAGCUGAUUCUGAGGUGCCUGAGGACAUCUUGGUGGAGACAUUCCAUAGGCAGCCAAUUCUCCAGGGCUCAGGAGGUGGUUGUCCCCAUUCCAGGCAUUUGAGGCUCACCUACCCAGGGCCUCAUGGUGAGAGAGUUUCUCAGCUGGGUCUCUGCCUUCAGAGUCCCUUCAAUUUCCAAGAUUCCUCGGUGAAUCUUUCUCCCACAUGAGAAGGCUACAUCAUCCAGGAGCCUUCUCCUACAGCUCAGAAAAGAAGUAAGCCCCCAGAUCUGAGAUCCCUGGAGACACAUGUCCUUCUGAUGGGAGGUUGGAAGACUCAGUGCCCAAGCCUUUCCCAUGGAAAGCCCUGGGUCUGGCUUUGACUCAGAAACCCUCCGUCUCCCCCAACCUCCCUCUGGAAUCUAUCAGAUUGGGGGAGCUGAAGGAAUUGAAUCAAUGCCCAGCUCAUUUUUUUUUUUUUUUAAAAACCUGACUAGCACAUUCCCUGCAUGAGCUGACUGUCACAUGUUGGGUAGAUUCUCUGCAUUUCAUUACUUAGUGUUCUCUUAUAGAAUAAAAGACUGACUUGGAUAGUCAAGCUCCCACAAGCUAUUUAGGAAGGAAAGAGGCCCCUAAAACUAGAUGGUUGGGACAAAAUUAUUCUCUGGGGGCGGGGGAUAGAGGCAUUGGCUAGGAAAUUAGAAGAACUAAGAUUUAAUUUCAGUUCUGUUGCUAAUAAGCAGUGUGACUUUGGGUUAAACAGCUUCUACAGUUUCAGUUUCCUUUUCUGUAAAUGGGCAUGGGGUGCUGCAGACCAGGGAUCUGCUGCCUUCAGUGUGCAUUAGAAUCACCUGGGGGGCUUGUUAAAUCAGAGAUGGCUGGGCCCCACCCCAGAAUUGGAUUCAAUAGGUCUCAGGUGGGACCCAAAAUUUACAUUUCCAGUAAGUUCCCAGGUAAUUCUGCUGCUCUGGGGACCCCACUGUGAGAACCCAUUUGACCGUCUCUAAAUCCUUGCUAAUCAAUAUAUUGUUCUCAGACCAACAUCAUCAACAUCAUCUGGAAGCUUUUUAAAAAACAUAAAAUCUGGGGCCCUACUUAGUCCUACAGAAUUAGACUCUGCAUGAAAACAAGAUUCCCAGGUGAUUCUUUUGCACAUUAAAAUGUGAAA